UAACCAUAAUGAGGGCAAGCUCGUCUCAAGUCCUUGAACCUUUUCCAUGCUUCACUCAAUGUCUCACCAUCUAGUUGAGAGAAUGUAGCUAUUUGACGUUUUAGCUC
Non-coding RNA from Beta vulgaris subsp. vulgaris (sugar beet), 107 nucleotides. Lineage: Eukaryota; Viridiplantae; Streptophyta; Magnoliopsida; Caryophyllales; Amaranthaceae. The record is from Rfam.